This 950-nucleotide ribosomal RNA is filed under the name uncultured bacterium. RNAcentral's name for it is "bacterial SSU rRNA". It matches the Rfam family "Bacterial small subunit ribosomal RNA", at positions 119 to 1047 of the family's 1533-position model. The record is from RNAcentral.
AUACAUUACUCUUGGUAUUGGGGGGGAAACGUUUCGGAACGGACGCUAAUACCGCAUACGUCCUACGGGAGAAAGCCUGGGACCUUCGGGCCUUGCGCUAUCAGAUGAGCCUAGGUCGGAUUAGCUAGUUGGUGAGGUAAUGGCUCACCAAGGCUACGAUCCGUAACUGGUCUGAGAGGAUGAUCAGUCACACUGGAACUGAGACACGGUCCAGACUCCUACGGGAGGCAGCAGUGGGGAAUAUUGGACAAUGGGCGAAAGCCUGAUCCAGCCAUGCCGCGUGUGUGAAGAAGGUCUUCGGAUUGUAAAGCACUUUAAGUUGGGAGGAAGGGCAUUAACCUAAUACGUUAGUGUUUUGACGUUACCGACAGAAUAAGCACCGGCUAACUCUGUGCCAGCAGCCGCGGUAAUACAGAGGGUGCAAGCGUUAAUCGGAAUUACUGGGCGUAAAGCGCGCGUAGGUGGUUUGUUAAGUUGAAUGUGAAAUCCCCGGGCUCAACCUGGGAACUGCAUCCAAAACUGGCAAGCUAGAGUAUGGUAGAGGGUAGUGGAAUUUUCCUGUGUAGCGGUGAAAUGCGUAGAUAUAGGAAGGAACACCAGUGGCGAAGGCGACUACCUGGACUGAUACUGACACUGAGGUGCGAAAAGCGUGGGGGAGCAAACAGGAUUUAGAUACCCCUGGUAGUCCACGCCCGUUAAACGAAUGUCAACUAGCCUGUUGGGUAGUCUUUGAAACUCUUUAGUUGGCGCAACCUAACGCAUUUAAGUUGGACCGCCCUGGGGGAAGUAACGGCCGCAAGGUUAAAACUCAAAUGGAAUUUGACCGGGGGGCCCGCAACAAGCCGGUGGGAGCAUGUGGUUUAUAUUCGAAGCAAACGCGAAUGAACUUUACUCAUGGCCUUGAACAUCCAAUGAACCUUUCCAUGAAAGCAUUAAUUUGGUGGCCCUUC